Molecule: ribosomal RNA, 478 nt
Filed under: uncultured bacterium
Lineage: Bacteria
Description: partial 16S ribosomal RNA
Rfam family: Bacterial small subunit ribosomal RNA
Source: RNAcentral
GAUGUACGCUGGCGGCGUGCUUAACACAUGCAAGUCGAACGAGAAGUGAAGACGGAAACCUUCGGGCGGAAGGCUUUAUUUCGAGUGGCGGACGGGUGAGUAACGCGUGGGUAACCUGCCUCAUACAGGGGGAUAACAGUUGGAAACGACUGUUAAUACCGCAUAAGACCACAGCACCGCAUGGUGCGGGGGUAAAAACUCCGGUGGUAUGAGAUGGACCCGCGUUCGAUUAGCCAGUUGGCGGGGUAACGGCCCACCAAAGCGACGAUCGAUAGCCGAUCUGAGAGGAUGACCGGCCACAUUGGGACUGAGACACGGCCCAAACUCCUACGGGAGGCAGCAGUGGGGAAUAUUGCACAAUGGGGGAAACCCUGAUGCAGCGACGCCGCGUGAGUGAAGAAGUAUUUCGGUAUGUAAAGCUCUAUCAGCAGGGAAGAAAAUGACGGUACCUGAGGAAGAAGCCCCGGCUAACUACGUG